This 1556-nucleotide ribosomal RNA is filed under the name Limosilactobacillus equigenerosi DSM 18793 = JCM 14505. RNAcentral describes it as "bacterial SSU rRNA". It matches the Rfam family "Bacterial small subunit ribosomal RNA". The record is from RNAcentral. Lineage: Bacteria; Bacillati; Bacillota; Bacilli; Lactobacillales; Lactobacillaceae.
AGAGUUUGAUCCUGGCUCAGGAUGAACGCCGGCGGUGUGCCUAAUACAUGCAAGUCGUACGCGUUGGCCCAACUGAUUUGAAGUGCUUGCACGGAUCUGACGUUGGUUUACCAACGAGUGGCGGACGGGUGAGUAACACGUAGGUAACCUGCCCAGAAGCGGGGGACAACACUUGGAAACAGGUGCUAAUACCGCAUAACAAUUCAAAUCGCAUGAUUUGAAUUUGAAAGAUGGUUUCGGCUAUCACUUCUGGAUGGACCUGCGGCGCAUUAGCUUGUUGGUGGGGUAACGGCCUACCAAGGCAGUGAUGCGUAGCCGAGUUGAGAGACUGAUCGGCCACAAUGGGACUGAGACACGGCCCAUACUCCUACGGGAGGCAGCAGUAGGGAAUCUUCCACAAUGGGCGCAAGCCUGAUGGAGCAACACCGCGUGAGUGAAGAAGGUUUUCGGAUCGUAAAGCUCUGUUGUUGAAGAAGAACGUGCAUGAGAGUAACUGUUCAUGCAGUGACGGUAUUCAACCAGAAAGUCACGGCUAACUACGUGCCAGCAGCCGCGGUAAUACGUAGGUGGCAAGCGUUAUCCGGAUUUAUUGGGCGUAAAGAGAGUGCAGGCGGUUUCUUAAGUCUGAUGUGAAAGCCUUCGGCUCAACCGAAGAAGUGCAUCGGAAACUGGGGAAACUUGAGUACAGAAGAGGGCAGUGGAACUCCAUGUGUAGCGGUGGAAUGCGUAGAUAUAUGGAAGAACACCAGUGGCGAAGGCGGCUGCCUGGUCUGUAACUGACGCUGAGACUCGAAAGCAUGGGUAGCGAACAGGAUUAGAUACCCUGGUAGUCCAUGCCGUAAACGAUGAGUGCUAGGUGUUGGAGGGUUUCCGCCCUUCAGUGCCGGAGCUAACGCAUUAAGCACUCCGCCUGGGGAGUACGACCGCAAGGUUGAAACUCAAAGGAAUUGACGGGGGCCCGCACAAGCGGUGGAGCAUGUGGUUUAAUUCGAAGCUACGCGAAGAACCUUACCAGGUCUUGACAUCUUGCGCCAACCCUAGAGAUAGGGCGUUUCCUUCGGGAACGCAAUGACAGGUGGUGCAUGGUCGUCGUCAGCUCGUGUCGUGAGAUGUUGGGUUAAGUCCCGCAACGAGCGCAACCCUUGUUACUAGUUGCCAGCAUUCAGUUGGGCACUCUAGUGAGACUGCCGGUGACAAACCGGAGGAAGGUGGGGACGACGUCAGAUCAUCAUGCCCCUUAUGACCUGGGCUACACACGUGCUACAAUGGACGGUACAACGAGCAGCGAACUCGCGAGGGCAAGCAAAUCUCUUAAAACCGUUCUCAGUUCGGAUUGCAGGCUGCAACUCGCCUGCAUGAAGUCGGAAUCGCUAGUAAUCGCGGAUCAGCAUGCCGCGGUGAAUACGUUCCCGGGCCUUGUACACACCGCCCGUCACACCAUGAGAGUUUGUAACACCCAAAGUCGGUGGGGUAACCUUUUGGAGCCAGCCGCCUAAGGUGGGACAGAUGAUUAGGGUGAAGUCGUAACAAGGUAGCCGUAGGAGAACCUGCGGCUG